GAUGAACGCUGGCGGCGUGCCUAACACAUGCAAGUCGAACGAAGCAACCGGGGCUUGCUCUGGUUGACUUAGUGGCGGACGGGUGAGUAACGCGUGGGUAACCUGCCUCAUACAGGGGGAUAACAACUGGAAACGGUUGAUAAUACCGCAUAAGCGCACAGCAUCGCAUGAUGCAGUGUGAAAAACUCCGGUGGUAUGAGAUGGACCCGCGUCUGAUUAGCCAGUUGGCGGGGUAACGGCCCACCAAAGCGACGAUCAGUAGCCGGCCUGAGAGGGUGAACGGCCACAUUGGGACUGAGACACGGCCCAAACUCC
This 315-nucleotide ribosomal RNA is filed under the name uncultured Lachnospiraceae bacterium. Its description in RNAcentral is "bacterial SSU rRNA". It matches the Rfam family "Bacterial small subunit ribosomal RNA", at positions 28 to 339 of the family's 1533-position model. The record is from RNAcentral. Lineage: Bacteria; Bacillati; Bacillota; Clostridia; Lachnospirales; Lachnospiraceae.